UGGGGAAUAUUGGACAAUGGGCGAAAGCCUGAUCCAGCCAUGCCGCGUGUGUGAAGAAGGUCUUCGGAUUGUAAAGCACUUUAAGUUGGGAGGAAGGGCAUUAACCUAAUACGUUAGUGUUUUGACGUUACCGACAGAAUAAGCACCGGCUAACUCUGUGCCAGCAGCCGCGGUAAUACAGAGGGCGCAAGCGUUAAUCGGAAUUACUGGGCGUAAAGUGCGCGUAGGUGGUUUGUUAAGUUGGAUGUGAAAGCCCCGGGCUCAACCUGGGAACUGCAUCCAAAACUGGCAAGCUAGAGUACGGUAGAGGGUGGUGGAAUUUCCUGUGUAGCGGUGAAAUGCGUAGAUAUAGGAAGGAACACCAGUGGCGAAGGCGACCACCUGGACUGAUACUGACACUGAGGUGCGAAAGCGUGGGGAGCAAACA
This 427-nucleotide ribosomal RNA is filed under the name uncultured bacterium. RNAcentral describes it as "partial 16S ribosomal RNA". It matches the Rfam family "Bacterial small subunit ribosomal RNA", at positions 355 to 774 of the family's 1533-position model. The record is from RNAcentral.